AGCACUAACAACAACAACAACAAAAAAAACUAUUUACUCUUCCAGGAGAAAGUUUAUGCACCAAAGAAGGUCAAUAUACUAAGUGGCUCAAGCUACUUACUCUUAGUCCCGCCUUUCAUUUCACUCAAAAGCUGAAUCAUUUAAGCAGUGCAAUGCUUUUGCUGAGGAAGUCUCCACUUGAGCUCCCUUUGUUGCUUUCUGUUCAUGGUUGCAGUGAGGAAUCAGUGACUAUUGCCCAAAUGGAAUUUCCACAAUCUCAGGGUAGAGUCCAGACCCUUAGACUCAAGGCCCAUGACUCUUAGAUCACAACACUAUUGAUAGCCCAUGUCCAACCUGAGAGGCAUUAUGCUCCCCUCCCGAAAUUCAUGUGGGGAAACCCUCGUCCUCAGUGGCACUGUUCUUGGAGACACAGCAUUAACAAGGUAAUUGGGAUUAUAUGAGGUCAUAAAGGUGAGGCCCUAGUCCAGUGUGUCCUCAGAAGAAGAAAGACACCAGGAUGUGUGCACAGAGAACAACUUUGUGAGAACACGGCGAGAAGGCGGCCAUCUGCGAGACAAGGAGAGAGAAGCUCCAGGAGAAACCAAACCUACUGACAUUUUGGUUGUGGGCUUCCAGCUUCCAAAACUGAGAAAAUAAAUUUCUUUUUUUUUUUUUAAAGCCAUCCAGUCUGUGGUAUAUUGCUAUGGCAGACUUAGAAAACCAAUAAAAUAAAUACUUGGCUGUUGCAUAGAAAAUUAUUACCCUGCAUGAAAUAUCAGAAUCAGUAAGUCCGUCCAGACACCAGAUGCGUGGAGGGCAAGUUUUCAAGGACCUGGAUCAAAUAAAGAAAAGUGAUGAUACUGGAUGCAAUAACAAACUGUUCAUGAGUUUCCAGAGUGACAAACUAAAUGCUGACUAAAUACACAGAAUUAGCCUUUGAAACUGUUGGAGCGCGCCCAGUAGCAGCCCAGGGGUGGCCGCGCAGGAGCCUCCCUGUCCCUGCUGCGGAACCGCAGCAAAUUCGGGUAGCCCGGGGGCCGCGAGCUUCAGCCUCCGUCUCUCUGAGGCUCAAAGCAAAUGUUGAGAGAGCAGGUGGAAAACAGUCCCGAGGGAACAGCAAACACCUAGAGGACCUGCGGGGGGGGCGUGGAGGGUCAGCUGUUACCUCCCUAAAUUUCAAGUGAAAUGGGAUAAAUGAGUGUGACAAAGGAAAAAAUGUCUUCUAGGAAUUGUCAUAUGUAAACAACGUGGAGCUUAUCAUAUUCCCUGGGACGUCAGGGUGGAAUGGGAAGCCUCGGGCCCUUUCCUCCCCUCCCACACCCACGGACAGACCCAUUC
This 1317-nucleotide long non-coding RNA is filed under the name Vulpes vulpes (red fox). RNAcentral describes it as "lncRNA (ENSVVUG00000030327.1)". The record is from RNAcentral. Lineage: Eukaryota; Metazoa; Chordata; Mammalia; Carnivora; Canidae.